This 253-nucleotide ribosomal RNA is filed under the name uncultured bacterium. RNAcentral describes it as "partial 16S ribosomal RNA". It matches the Rfam family "Bacterial small subunit ribosomal RNA", at positions 524 to 776 of the family's 1533-position model. The record is from RNAcentral.
UACGGGGGGGGCAAGCGUUGUUCGGAAUUACUGGGCGUAAAGGGCUCGUAGGCGGCCAACUAAGUCGGAUGUGAAAUCCCCAGGCUUAACCUGGGAACUGCAUCCGAUACUGGAUGGCUUGAAUCCGGGAGAGGGAUGCAGGAUUCCAGGUGUAGCGGUGAAAUGCGUAGAUAUCUGGAGGAAUACCGGUGGCGAAGGCGGCAUCCUGGACCAACACUGACACUGAGGAGCGAAAGCCAGGGGAGCAAACGGG